UUGUUUUCUCCCUUUUUUUGUUUUGUCUGGUAGUGUGCAGAGAGUGAAAAUGUUACAUGCCUUCUAAAGCAAGCAGACAUUCAUUCUUCUUCAGAGUAGCUCUUGGAGAGUAGCACCAUGGCUCAUUCCAACAUGGAAGCUGAUAAAAUGCUGGAUGUAUAUAUACACGAUUAUCUUAAGAAGAGAAAAUAUGGUGCUUCUGCUAGAACAUUUCAAGCUGAAGCACAACUUCUCACCAAUCGUGCUGCUAUAGAUGCUCCAGGUGGUUUUCUUCUUGAAUGGUGGUCAGUAUUUUGGGAUAUUUUCAUUGCUCGGUUCAAGACCCCUCUUUCAAGCACUACUGCAUCUUACAAUGUGGUUCAAAUGAUUAAUACAUUGGAACAGAAGGAUGUCCAAGCUCAACAGCUUAAUCAAAUGCAACAGCUUAUCCAACAAAAGCAACUGCAAGGUUAUGGUACUCAGCUUUUGAGGGGGACUACCAAUGAGGCUAUGACAAGACACAGUCUAGGGACAACAAAUGCUUUAACCAAAAGGGUGUACGAAAGUAGCCCUCAAGUUCAGAGAAUUUCCAUAUCAGUGGACAAUAAGAAACCCACAAAUCCAAGGAAUAGUGAUAAUAUUGGUCAGCAUUUAGAUGCAAAUCACAGCUGCAUAUCAAAACUGGAAACCUUUAGAGACCAGCAUUCGCGGCAAACGCAACACAGUUUACCUGGUGAUAAUUUGAGAUUUUAUCCUCCACUAGCUGAUCAAGCUCAUCAAUUCCCAGUUACGCAACUGGACCAGAGCUUAACAAAUAUGAUGAUUCCUGCUGUGAGUCACAAAGCUGCUGAGUCAGGAUCAGAUCAUGGAGUGAACAGUUUGCUUUUAAAAGGAUGGCCCUUGAUGGGAUUGGAACAGCUUCAAUCUGGACUAAUUCAGCAGCAAAGCUCUACAGUCCACCUGUCUCAUCCCUCCCAACAGCAGCUACAGCAACAAAUUCUAAUGUUUCUUAGUGACCAGUAUAUGGAUAUAAGUCAAGGUGACCAAUCAAACUUCACUGCAAACAUAGUUGUGGACAGAAAUUUGCCAGUUCAAGUGGGUCUCCCGCUUUUCUCUCGUUCAGAUUCAGCUAUGCUAAUGAAGCAAGUGCAGAACAUCAAUCGAAGUCUGGAACAAGGUCAACAGCCUGCUUUUUUUUGCAAGCAUCCAGAAAAUCCAAGUUCCAGCAGCCAACAGCAAGAUAAGAGUGUUGCUACUGGCAGCACGACCAUGGACGUUAGCUUGUCCAACACCUCUAGAGGUGAUGAUCAGAAACGUGCUACGAAAAAGAGAAAGCAGUUAAUGUCAUCAGGUCAGAGUAACAGCUUAGGAACUGCAUACAACACUAGUCUGUUACCAAGUUCAGCGCCUUCUACACCAUCUAUAUCCAGUGCGGAAGAUGUGAUAUCAAUGCCUGCAUUGCUUCAUGAUGAUAAUUUUUCUAAAGGUUGUGUGUAUGGCAAUGAUGUUGUUUGCUCAGCUACAUUGAUAUCAACUCAAAUGGCUGAUGUUCCUCUUAUAAACCACAUGUUUGCGAAUAACUCUGCCGAGUCCUUCCUUUCUGACAAUGCAGAUACUGAAAGCAUAAUCCCUAGGUGCUUAGGCACCAGUAAAGAUAUUACGUUCUUGGAAAUUGGGACUUUUCAUUCCAGUGCAGUUAAUUGCUGCGACCUUUCAUCUGAUGGAAAGCUGAUAGCAACUGGCGGGGAUAAAGAGGUUGUACUAUGGUGCACAGAUUCAAGAGCGCUAAAGCAUAUACUUGAGGGGCAUUCUGAUGCAAUAACAGAUGUUCGCUUUGGUCCAAGAUUACCACGUCUUGCUUCAUCUUCCCUUGAUAAGACAAUCAAAAUUUGGGAUGUUCAUAAUCCAGACCACUCAAUACGAAGUUUUACUGGCCAUUCUGCCUCCGUUAUGUCACUUGACUUUCAUCCAACCAAGGAGGACCUGAUCUGUUCUUGUGAUAAUGUUAGUACAAUUCGAUACUGGAACAUUAAGAAUGGUGGUUGUGCAGGAGUGUCAAAGGUUCGUGCAACUCAAGUUAGGUUUCAGCCUAAUCUUGGGAAGUAUCUUGCUGCUGCUGAUGCGGAUGGUGUAUUGUUAAUAGAUGUGGAGACCACCCAAAUCUGUACAUAUCCUCUGAAGGGUCACAUCUCAAUCAUCCGGGGUAUAUGCUGGAGCAGCUCUGGUGAGUAUCUAGCUUCACUUAGUGAAGAUAUGGUAAAAGUCUGGAAGAUUGGCUCUAGUGGAGAGCAAGAGUGCAUGAAUGAGCGAAGCGUAACAGGCAAAAGAUUUCGUUGCUGCACAUUUCAUCCUUGUUACCCUUCUGUAUUAGUGGUUGGUUCAGAUCAGUGCCUGGAAUUUUGGCAUAUGGCUGAGAACAAGAUGAUGAUUGUGCUGGAAGAGCCUGUGAAUAGUUUAGCAGCGUCGCGGCCCACUGGUGUAGUAGCUUCUGCCACUGACAACAAUUUAAUCAGAUUGUGGAAAUGAAAAUUUAUUUCCAUCAACUUCAACUUGGAGAGUGAAAAUCUGUUUUACCAUGUUUUGCAUUUACACCACACCAACCAAUAUGAACAGAAAAGUGGUUAUGUUAGGUAAGCAAGUGAGAUAUUCUACCUCUGGGGAGAAUGGUAAGUUUCAAAAUGGACAAGCAGUAGCAGUGAAAAUAUUGUCAGCAAAUUCAGGCCAAGAUGAUGUAGAAUUCAAAUAUGAGAUCUUGUUGGUUAUAUGGUUAGGUUGUUGGGAUUUUGCUAAUGUUGGUAGUUCUUUUUUUUUCUUUUUAGAAUUAAUUAAUAUUGGUGAGUUUUUUAUUACGUGAAAAAUGAGUCCUCGUAAGAGAAAAAGAGGAAAAUAUCCAAGUCUCCUAAAAUUAAUGUUGGUAAUUUUUUUAAUUUUUUUUAGGAAUUAAUGUGGGCAAGAACUUUUACGAUGAACAAUACAACCCCGUUGCUUUCUCAA
RNA transcript from Solanum tuberosum (potato), 2973 nucleotides. It is a transcript of the gene named transcriptional corepressor LEUNIG-like, with no coding region annotated. The transcript has 19 exons. Lineage: Eukaryota; Viridiplantae; Streptophyta; Magnoliopsida; Solanales; Solanaceae. The record is from RefSeq and is a predicted model, not a curated record.